CGGACCGACAGGCUUUCAACCCUACUUUGAGCUCUCAAAAUAAUUUAUUUUGGGACGACAGUAGACGGUGGCUUGGGCAAAAUCUCCCAUUACAGAAUAUUACUGUGGGUAGAAAAUAACCAGCCGAACAAAAUCUCUCAGUCGUCGACGCCGAUUUCUAACUUCGUACUCCCCUAGUGCACAGAGUAUACUCUCAAUCUCUCCAACAAUCCCCUGAUUUCUCCUCUCGCUGCUCAAUUGUUCGUCAUUUCUUUGAGGUCCGGCCAAUCCCUGCCGCUAGGUGCUGCCACUUUCAUUCUCACCAGACUGCCGAUUAAUUCCAACGCCAGGAAAGGCGAUUAUUGAAUGGCAGAGACAGUAUCAGUAAUAGGCCAAAACACUCAAUACUAUGAGGAAAAAAAGGGAAAAACAAAAUGCAAGAAAAAGAGAGGAUUUAAAUUCAAGGGAUGAGCCAAUCCCUUUUCUAAACCUAAUGUUCAAAGUGGAUGAGCUGAAACCAAACCUGCUGUUGAAUAUGCCCGCUAGAGCACAACCCACAAGAGACUGGUUGGAAAUAAUCUUUUCCCACCGAUUAUGGGGGGUUAGCCUCGGUAUGCCUCCGCGACAAAAGGACAAAUAUGUUGUAGUAGAUCUAAUCUACCAUGCCAAUGCUCGAAAUUCGAAUCAAAUACAUAAUUGAUGACAACAGAAACAACUGAAUCACUGACUGCACUAACUUAUGACUAUUGUGGGACAUAAACUCUAACUAUUAUUGUACCCUUUCCAAUCAUCUUCCAUGGGUUAGGAUCUAUGUAUAAAAAAUAUCAGGCAUAAAUAUAAAACGGCAUUUCUGGUGAGAAA
Long non-coding RNA from Carya illinoinensis, 840 nucleotides. RefSeq lists it as uncharacterized. The record is from RefSeq and is a predicted model, not a curated record. The transcript has 2 exons. NCBI's taxonomy places the organism in Eukaryota, Viridiplantae, Streptophyta, Magnoliopsida, Fagales, Juglandaceae.